Non-coding RNA from Lolium perenne, 3259 nucleotides. NCBI's taxonomy places the organism in Eukaryota, Viridiplantae, Streptophyta, Magnoliopsida, Poales, Poaceae. The record is from RefSeq and is a predicted model, not a curated record.
CCGGUCGUCUCUCUCGAUGCCCACCCCAAAUCCCCUCCUUGUUCGUCUCUCCUCCUCCAAUCCCGUGUGAUUCCUCUCCUGCUCAGCCCGCCGCCGGUCCCACCACCGCCAUCUCCCCCGCGUGCCAGGCCAGGAAGGCGCAGGCGGAAGCAAUGGACGAUGGCGACGCGCGCGGCCUGGAGGAGCAGGAAGCGGCCGCGGCCGAGGUGGCGUGGGAGUUGCAAGAGGCGGCAGCGGCCCUCGCCGUGCGCUGCGCCGCCGACGAGGACGCGCUGCGGCGCAGCGCGGUCGCGCUGGACGGGGAGCUGCGGCGCCUCCAGGGCUCCGUCGCCGCCCUCGAACCCGCCGUGCUCGACAAGGUCCGCGCGAGCCCCCGAGCCCCUCACCAUUGUUCUCUUGAUUGAGGCCACCAAGGUCAUCCUCGUCCUCCACAACCACGAGCAGGGCAAGAAUACCCGCUUUCUGCUUCUCUUGGCUGGCCAGCCAUGUCUCUUCCAUAGCCUGACGCCUUCUCUACCAUGAGAAGACAGGGGAGAGGACACCAUGCUCUGCAACCUCCAUCCCUGGCCCCUCUACAUGGAGCGGCAGCCAACCAGGCUUCCUCUGGCCCAUCCCAUCUCUCAACCUCCAUGCCUUUGUUGAUUCGAGAUGUGUUUUGUAUCUAUGCAUAUGAACUGUUUGAGGAAAUGUCUAAAUAGGCUGCAUGUAAAUUGUUUGAGGAAAUGUCUAAGUAGGCUGCACGAACAAGAUAUCUACCUUUUUAGGGCUAUUUUGUCGUCUUUUCUUACCUAUGAUGGUCAAGCUGGUUAUGUUUGUUACCAUCAGAGUGAGAAGCUUAACCCUUCACAGUGGUGGUGGUUGUUCUCUUGUACAACUUGCCAUAAAUCAGUGAUUGCACAUGGUGCUCAAUACACAUACUCUAAUUUGAUUGUUUUACUGUUGAUGCAUUGCCAAGGUACUGAGAGCAGAUGCCUUGACAUAGGGAAUGCUCCCGAGGGGGGGGUGAGGAGGUCAGGGUGAGGGGCAGAGAGAGACUCCCCCAGUUUUAGGUUGUGGCUCUGGUGUAACUGGACAAAUUAGGUAUGUAUCUUACUUGCAUGAUCCUAUUGUUUCCGCAGAAUUCGGCACCCACCUAAAAUAUGCGCAUGGGUAUUCAUGGAAGAUGUUAUAUUGGUUCCUUGGAUUCUCUCGGAAUGCUAUUGUAUAUGUAUGUAUGAGCACCGAACAUAGGUGUACCUGCCAUAAGUACGGAGGCUAUUUCCAUGAAAACAUUUUCUUCAGAUUACAAAACUGAAUUAAUAUGCCACUUUACACAAUUGCUUUCCAUAAAAAAAUGUUUAUAGCUCUAUAAUAUAUAACAUCGGUUGCACAUAUUUUUCUUCUUAUACUGAAGCUUAUAUGCUCCUACUGCGGAAAUUAAUCCAGUAUGAAGCAAAUAAGAUGACGUUGGUCUGUCCCUAAUGCAUUCUUUAAAGCCCUGGUGAGUUUAGAUGUUCUGCUUAUGAGCCAUAUUUACAUAUCUGUAAUGAUUAUGCAAUUAUAUUUUGUCUUGCCGCUUUUCAUUUUUAUUCUAGGUCAUUUGUUCAGCCAGAAAAAUGUUGGUCUUACCUUUCAUCUAAAGAAAGGCUUUCUAAAAUUGUUAACAUUCUGCCUUAGUAUUCCUGAAGUUGCGUACGUUGUUUGAUGCGUUUUUUUAUCUCCCUUUGAUUAUCGUUCAGCAAAUAUUUCAAUGAAUAUGUCCAUGCUCUAGAAAGUUUUGAUCAGAUCUACAGAUGUAAACCUGUUUUGCGUUGCAUUUUCAGAAAACUAACCAAUAGUCAUGACACAUCAGCUUGUUUGCAGGGGAGCCGUAUUGUUCGUGUUGUCCUCCAGAUGUUUAGCCAGCUUCUCUGUAUUUAUGUUAUUAUCACUUACACAGUAAUGAUUUUCUGAAGUUAAUUGUCUCUGCAAUUUGUCUGUUACGCAGUAUGGCGUUUGCUGAAUCAUUUAACAAUGCGAAAGGUUUGGAAGGCCUGUCAAGAGACUCCAUUUGAGUAUUCAUUUUCACCAGGGAGUACAAGGAGUUGAGGAGGAAAAAGGAGAUAGAUAUCCAUCGGCGGUGGCAUGCAGUGCGGGGUCGAGUUGGAGGCGAACAUCAAGAAGUAUAUAAGAAGGUGACAGUCGCUGGAGCAUACCAUAGAACGGACCAUUACCACAAGAACUUGAGUUUUAAGCAAGCUAGGGUUGGACUGAAUUGUGUUGGUGGUAUUAUUUCAAUACUUUGUCUGCAGCCCCAAAAAUGGAACCAUUGAGUAAGACAUUAGUCAAGAUAAUGCAGGUGUCGUGUGGACAUAUCUAGCGCCUUCGUCGUGAGUACUUAGAGUGGUUGCUGAUGGCGAGUCCAAACUGGAUGCAUCAACUAUUAAACCAACGCUUGUUUAUUCUGAAGUGUUGUGAAUCUGAAGCGGGGUAAUCGUGCAUUCUCCAACAGGGUUAUGCAUUCUGUGCAAAAAAUAAUUGGUGUAGUAUAUGCUCCAAUACCAGUAGUUUUUUGCCCCGAAAUGGGGCAGCCUCAGCCUCUGCAUCCAACACCCGUAGACGACUUAAGGAUGAAUCAAAAUGGCUCAGGUAAUGGAUUUAAUUGAUGUUUCAUAUGAGCAGGUUAAUUCCUUAUGUUCCACUUCAAAUACUCAUGUGCUUUCCAUCCGUUACAUGUAAUUACUAAUUGAUCUGUUACACUUUUAUCACACGAUGUGUCAUGUUUUUCUUGUUGUUCCAUAAGAUAAGACAUAUUUCUGUAAGAUUGAAUAGCUACCAUCUCUACCGGCUUUGGAUCAAAUUCCUACCAGUAUUAUCUUAUAUAAUUAUAUAUAUGUUACACUGAAUAUCUAAGUGACUGUGUGACUGUAGGUGUAUGUAUAUAAUUUUGUAGUAGUAAUGGCAUCGGCAUGUGCCUUAGUUUCAUGACAUUUUGUGCAAGAAAUAAAGCAGGAAGAAGAAGCUGCUAGAAUAGGAAGGACCUAGGAAUCCUUUUUUGUUUUUCUUUAGAUUUAGAUUAGUUAAUCUUUUUUGAAAAGUAAAAAGGGGUGGAGUAAACCUAUUUUUAUUUUCUUCGAAACUAGUGCCCUCUUCUUCCGCGUGUAGAAAAGGAAGAAAUAAAUCAAUCAAAUUACGAGAGGCCUCAUAAAGCGCUUCCUUAGGGGUUAAACUUCCAUUAGUCCAUAUUUCUAGAAAAAGUAUCUCGUGUUUUUCAUUUCCAUUCCCACAAGAAAAAAUACUA